RNAcentral lists this ribosomal RNA (473 nucleotides) under uncultured bacterium. RNAcentral describes it as "partial 16S ribosomal RNA". It matches the Rfam family "Bacterial small subunit ribosomal RNA", at positions 28 to 507 of the family's 1533-position model. The record is from RNAcentral.
GACGAACGCUGGCGGCGUGCUUAACACAUGCAAGUCGAACGGAAAGGCCCUGCUUUUGUGGGGUGCUCGAGUGGCGAACGGGUGAGUAACACGUGGGUGAUCUGCCCCUUACUUUGGGAUAAGCCUGGGAAACUGGGUCUAAUACUGGAUAGGACCAUGCUGUAGGUGGUGUGGUGGAAAGAUUUUUUCGGUAAGGGAUGAGCUCGCGGCCUAUCAGCUUGUUGGUGGGGUAAUGGCCUACCAAGGCGUCGACGGGUAGCCGGCCUGAGAGGGUGGACGGCCACAUUGGGACUGGGAUACGGCCCAGACUCCUACGGGAGGCAGCAGUGGGGAAUAUUGCACAAUGGGCGCAAGCCUGAUGCAGCGACGCCGCGUGGGGGAUGACGGCCUUCGGGUUGUAAACUCCUUUCAGCCAUGACGAAGCCUCUUUUGGGGUGACGGUAGUGGUAGAAGAAGCACCGGCUAACUACGUG